GGUCAAGUGAAGAAGCGCAUACGGUGGAUGCCUUGGCAGUCAGAGGCGAUGAAAGACGUGGUAGCCUGCGAAAAGCUUCGGGGAGUCGGCAAACAGACUUUGAUCCGGAGAUGUCUGAAUGGGGGAACCCAGCCAUCAUAAGAUGGUUAUCUUGUACUGAAUACAUAGGUGCAAGAGGCGAACCAGGGGAACUGAAACAUCUAAGUACCCUGAGGAAAAGAAAUCAACCGAGAUUCCCUUAGUAGUGGCGAGCGAACGGGGACUAGCCCUUAAGUGGCUUUGAGAUUAGCGGAACGCUCUGGAAAGUGCGGCCAUAGUGGGUGAUAGCCCUGUACGCGAAAAUCUCUUAGUCAUGAAAUCGAGUAGGACGGAGCACGAGAAACUUUGUCUGAAUAUGGGGGGACCAUCCUCCAAGGCUAAAUACUACUGACUGACCGAUAGUGAACUAGUACCGUGAGGGAAAGGCGAAAAGAACCCCGGAGAGGGGAGUGAAAUAGAUCCUGAAACCGUAUGCGUACAAGCAGUGGGAGCAGACUUUGUUCUGUGACUGCGUACCUUUUGUAUAAUGGGUCAGCGACUUAUUUUCAGUGGCGAGCUUAACCGAAUAGGGGAGGCGUAGCGAAAGCGAGUCUUAAUAGGGCGUCUAGUCGCUGGGAAUAGACCCGAAACCGGGCGAUCUAUCCAUGGGCAGGUUGAAGGUUAGGUAACACUGACUGGAGGACCGAACCGACUACCGUUGAAAAGUUAGCGGAUGACCUGUGGAUCGGAGUGAAAGGCUAAUCAAGCUCGGAGAUAGCUGGUUCUCCUCGAAAGCUAUUUAGGUAGCGCCUCAUGUAUCACUGUAGGGGGUAGAGCACUGUUUCGGCUAGGGGGUCAUCCCGACUUACCAAACCGAUGCAAACUCCGAAUACCUACAAGUGCCGAGCAUGGGAGACACACGGCGGGUGCUAACGUCCGUCGUGAAAAGGGAAACAACCCAGACCGUCAGCUAAGGUCCCAAAGUUAUGGUUAAGUGGGAAACGAUGUGGGAAGGCUUAGACAGCUAGGAGGUUGGCUUAGAAGCAGCCACCCUUUAAAGAAAGCGUAAUAGCUCACUAGUCGAGUCGGCCUGCGCGGAAGAUGUAACGGGGCUCAAACCAUACACCGAAGCUACGGGUAUCACGUAAGUGAUGCGGUAGAGGAGCGUUCUGUAAGCCUGUGAAGGUGAGUUGAGAAGCUUGCUGGAGGUAUCAGAAGUGCGAAUGCUGACAUGAGUAACGACAAUGGGUGUGAAAAACACCCACGCCGAAAGACCAAGGUUUCCUGCGCAACGUUAAUCGACGCAGGGUUAGUCGGUCCCUAAGGCGAGGCUGAAAAGCGUAGUCGAUGGAAAACAGGUUAAUAUUCCUGUACUUCUGGUUAUUGCGAUGGAGGGACGGAGAAGGCUAGGCCAGCUUGGCGUUGGUUGUCCAAGUUUAAGGUGGUAGGCUGGAAUCUUAGGUAAAUCCGGGAUUCCAAGGCCGAGAGCUGAUGACGAGUUGCCUUUAGGCGACGAAGUGGUUGAUGCCAUGCUUCCAAGAAAAGCUUCUAAGCUUCAGAUAACCAGGAACCGUACCCCAAACCGACACAGGUGGUUGGGUAGAGAAUACCAAGGCGCUUGAGAGAACUCGGGUGAAGGAACUAGGCAAAAUGGCACCGUAACUUCGGGAGAAGGUGCGCCGGUGAGGGUGAAGUACUUGCUACGUAAGCCCACGCCGGUCGAAGAUACCAGGCCGCUGCGACUGUUUAUUAAAAACACAGCACUCUGCAAACACGAAAGUGGACGUAUAGGGUGUGACGCCUGCCCGGUGCCGGAAGGUUAAUUGAUGGGGUUAGCUAACGCGAAGCUCUUGAUCGAAGCCCCGGUAAACGGCGGCCGUAACUAUAACGGUCCUAAGGUAGCGAAAUUCCUUGUCGGGUAAGUUCCGACCUGCACGAAUGGCGUAACGAUGGCGGCGCUGUCUCCACCCGAGACUCAGUGAAAUUGAAAUCGCUGUGAAGAUGCAGUGUAUCCGCGGCUAGACGGAAAGACCCCGUGAACCUUUACUAUAGCUUUGCACUGGACUUUGAAUUUGCUUGUGUAGGAUAGGUGGGAGGCUUUGAAGCGUGGACGCCAGUUCGCGUGGAGCCAUCCUUGAAAUACCACCCUGGCAACUUUGAGGUUCUAACUCAGGUCCGUUAUCCGGAUCGAGGACAGUGUAUGGUGGGUAGUUUGACUGGGGCGGUCUCCUCCUAAAGAGUAACGGAGGAGUACGAAGGUGCGCUCAGACCGGUCGGAAAUCGGUCGUAGAGUAUAAAGGCAAAAGCGCGCUUGACUGCGAGACAGACACGUCGAGCAGGUACGAAAGUAGGUCUUAGUGAUCCGGUGGUUCUGUAUGGAAGGGCCAUCGCUCAACGGAUAAAAGGUACUCCGGGGAUAACAGGCUGAUACCGCCCAAGAGUUCAUAUCGACGGCGGUGUUUGGCACCUCGAUGUCGGCUCAUCACAUCCUGGGGCUGAAGCCGGUCCCAAGGGUAUGGCUGUUCGCCAUUUAAAGUGGUACGCGAGCUGGGUUUAGAACGUCGUGAGACAGUUCGGUCCCUAUCUGCCGUGGACGUUUGAGAUUUGAGAGGGGCUGCUCCUAGUACGAGAGGACCGGAGUGGACGAACCUCUGGUGUUCCGGUUGUCACGCCAGUGGCAUUGCCGGGUAGCUAUGUUCGGGAAAGAUAACCGCUGAAAGCAUCUAAGCGGGAAACUUGCCUCAAGAUGAGAUCUCACUGGAACCUUGAGUUCCCUGAAGGGCCGUCGAAGACUACGACGUUGAUAGGUUGGGUGUGUAAGCGCUGUGAGGCGUUGAGCUAACCAAUACUAAUUGCCCGUGAGGCUUGACCAU
RNAcentral lists this ribosomal RNA (2891 nucleotides) under Pseudomonas sp. B21-021. Its description in RNAcentral is "23S ribosomal RNA". It matches the Rfam family "Bacterial large subunit ribosomal RNA". Lineage: Bacteria; Pseudomonadati; Pseudomonadota; Gammaproteobacteria; Pseudomonadales; Pseudomonadaceae. The record is from RNAcentral.